UACGUAGGGGGCUAGCGUUGUCCGGAAUCAUUGGGCGUAAAGCGCGUGUAGGCGGUCCGGUAAGUCCGCUGUGAAAGUCGGGGGCUCAACCCUCGAAUGCCGGUGGAUACUGUCGGGCUAGAGUGCGGAAGAGGCGAGUGGAAUUCCUGGUGUAGCGGUGAAAUGCGCAGAUAUCAGGAGGAACACCAAUUGCGAAGGCAGCUCUCUGGGACGGUACUGACGCUGAGACGCGAAAGCGUGGGGAGCGAACAGG
Molecule: ribosomal RNA, 253 nt
Filed under: uncultured bacterium
Lineage: Bacteria
Description: partial 16S ribosomal RNA
Rfam family: Bacterial small subunit ribosomal RNA
Source: RNAcentral